AACGCACAUUGCGCCCUUUGGUAUUCCGAAGGGCAUGCCUGUUCGAGCGUCAUUAUCAACCUAAACUUCGGUUUGUGUUGGACUCGAUUUAGUUAUCGGUCUCAAAUGUAACGACGGGGUCGUGGAACUCUAGAUGCAACGAGCUUCGGCACGCAUUGAGGGGAACCCGGCGCCAGUCAUCUGCCGUUUACGGCACUACACACAAGGUUGACCUCGGAUCAGGUAGGAAUACCCGCUGAACUUAA
Molecule: unclassified non-coding RNA, 245 nt
Filed under: uncultured Ascomycota
Lineage: Eukaryota; Fungi; Ascomycota
Description: sequence contains ITS2
Rfam family: 5.8S ribosomal RNA (bases 1-52)
Source: RNAcentral